RNAcentral lists this ribosomal RNA (440 nucleotides) under uncultured bacterium. RNAcentral describes it as "bacterial SSU rRNA". It matches the Rfam family "Bacterial small subunit ribosomal RNA", at positions 28 to 471 of the family's 1533-position model. The record is from RNAcentral.
GACGAACGUUGGCGGCGUGCCUAAUACAUGCAAGUCAACUGAAGCAAGGUAGCAAUAUCUUGUGGAGGGUGGCGCACGGGUGAGUAACACGUAGGUAAUCUGCCUUCAGGUCUGACAUAACUCCGGGAAACCGAGCUAAUAGCAGAUGAUGCAGCGGCUUGACAUCAAGACAGUUGUUAAAAGCUUCGGCGCCUGAAGAUGAGCCUGCGUCUGAUUAGCUAGUUGGCGGAGUAAUAGCCCACCAAGGCGACGAUCAGUAACUGGUCUGAGAGGAUGAUCAGUCACACUGGAACUGAGACACGGUCCAGACUCCUACGGGAGCAGCAGUAAGGAAUAUUGCUCAAUGGGGAACCCUGAAGCAGCAACGCCGCGUGAGGGAUGAAGGGCUUUGCUUGUAAACCUCUGUAGUGAGGGAAAAAUUUCCAACUCCUAGUGGAAUA